RNAcentral lists this ribosomal RNA (583 nucleotides) under uncultured bacterium. RNAcentral's name for it is "bacterial SSU rRNA". It matches the Rfam family "Bacterial small subunit ribosomal RNA", at positions 818 to 1400 of the family's 1533-position model. The record is from RNAcentral.
UGAAGGUUGUGGCCUUGAGCCGUGGCUUUCGGAGCUAACGCGUUAAGUAGACCGCCUGGGGAGUACGGUCGCAAGAUUAAAACUCAAAUGAAUUGACGGGGGCCCGCACAAGCGGUGGAGCAUGUGGUUUAAUUCGAUGCAACGCGAAGAACCUUACCUACUCUUGACAUCCAGAGAAUUCGCUAGAGAUAGCUUAGUGCCUUCGGGAACUCUGAGACAGGUGCUGCAUGGCUGUCGUCAGCUCGUGUUGUGAAAUGUUGGGUUAAGUCCCGCAACGAGCGCAACCCUUAUCCUUGUUUGCCAGCACGUAAUGGUGGGAACUCCAGGGAGACUGCCGGUGAUAAACCGGAGGAAGGUGGGGACGACGUCAAGUCAUCAUGGCCCUUACGAGUAGGGCUACACACGUGCUACAAUGGCGUAUACAGAGGGCUGCCAACCAGCGAUGGUGAGCGAAUCCCACAAAGUACGUCGUAGUCCGGAUCGGAGUCUGCAACUCGACUCCGUGAAGUCGGAAUCGCUAGUAAUCGUGAAUCAGAAUGUCACGGUGAAUACGUUCCCGGGCCUUGUACACACCGCCCGUCAC